GGGGCAACGUUCCCGCUAAAGAUAUAGUCGGGCCCGCUGAGAAAUCGGCGGGAAGAGUCACCGAAAAUGCGUCGACGAAAAACCGUUCCGUAGGUGAACCUGCGGAAGGAUCAUUA
This 116-nucleotide ribosomal RNA is filed under the name uncultured fungus. Its description in RNAcentral is "partial 18S ribosomal RNA". Lineage: Eukaryota; Fungi. The record is from RNAcentral.